CUUACGCGUAGGGCUACACACGUGCUACAAUGGCAGUGACAAUGGGAUAAUCCCCAAAAGCUGUCUCAGUUCGGAUUGUCGGCUGCAACUCGCCGGCAUGAAGUUGGAAUCGCUAGUAAUCGCGGAUCAGCAUGCCGCGGUGAAUACGUUCCCAGGCCUUGUACACACCGCCCGUCACACCAUGGGAGUUGGAUUCACCCGAAGGCGGUGCGCUAACCUUUUAGGAGGCAGCCGACCACGGUGGGUUCAGCGACUGGGGUGAAGUCGAAACAAGGUAGCCGUAGGGGAACCUGCGGCUGGAUCACCUCCUU
RNAcentral lists this ribosomal RNA (311 nucleotides) under Durinskia baltica. RNAcentral describes it as "partial Bacterial small subunit ribosomal RNA". It matches the Rfam family "Bacterial small subunit ribosomal RNA", at positions 1201 to 1532 of the family's 1533-position model. Lineage: Eukaryota; Dinophyceae; Peridiniales; Kryptoperidiniaceae. The record is from RNAcentral.